This is a long non-coding RNA of Dreissena polymorpha, 481 nucleotides long. RefSeq lists it as uncharacterized. The transcript has 4 exons. The record is from RefSeq and is a predicted model, not a curated record. Lineage: Eukaryota; Metazoa; Mollusca; Bivalvia; Myida; Dreissenidae.
CCCGUUCCGGGAAUAAUUGAUUUGUUCGUUCGCGCUUUAGAGUAACGAGUGCAAAAAAAGAACACCUGAAGACGAACUCGUGACAGCAAUUAUCGGAUAAAAUUAAGCUAAAGGAUGGAACGUACCGUUAAAGCGCCAGCAUAUGGGGUGCCAUCGUAUCUACCUGUUUCGACUGGGAGGUUAUGGUUAGCUGUUCUGAUUUUGAACAGGCUACUUCGCUCACGCUGAGGCAAAAGUAUCCGUAGGUCAGAAUAGGGAGCACAGUGUAGUCAAAGAGCUUUAUAAUGAGGUCGAUUGGGAGGCUGGCAUUGUUUGCCCUUGUGAAAAGGAACGUUUGAAGUGCUGUGUUGUGAAAAAUGGACUGUAGUUCGCUGGUUAUAAAUUCAACUGUUUCCUUAUCUUAACAGUGAUUACGAGUUCAUGAAGAAGAGACCAGAUUAACAGAUUAACGGGUAAAUAUACGUGCUAAAAUACUUAAUGC